RNAcentral lists this transfer RNA (73 nucleotides) under Pseudomonadota bacterium. RNAcentral describes it as "tRNA-His". It matches the Rfam family "tRNA". Rfam says of the family: Transfer RNA (tRNA) molecules are approximately 80 nucleotides in length. Their secondary structure includes four short double-helical elements and three loops (D, anti-codon, and T loops). The record is from RNAcentral. Lineage: Bacteria; Pseudomonadati; Pseudomonadota. RNAcentral also lists the same sequence under 3 other names.
GAGGCUAUGGUGUAGCCCGGUAGCACAACAGGUUGUGGCCCUGUUAGCAGCGGUUCAAAUCCGCUUAGCCUCC